CCGGAGCUAAUACCGGAUAAUAUUUUGAACCGCAUGGUUCAAAAGUGAAAGACGGUCUUGCUGUCACUUAUAGAUGGAUCCGCGCUGCAUUAGCUAGUUGGUGAGGUAACGGCUUACCAAGGCAACGAUGCAUAGCCGACCUGAGAGGGUGAUCGGCCACACUGGAACUGAGACACGGUCCAG
Molecule: ribosomal RNA, 183 nt
Filed under: uncultured Staphylococcus sp.
Lineage: Bacteria; Bacillati; Bacillota; Bacilli; Caryophanales; Staphylococcaceae
Description: partial 16S ribosomal RNA
Rfam family: Bacterial small subunit ribosomal RNA
Source: RNAcentral